Molecule: non-coding RNA, 68 nt
Filed under: Chlorobium phaeovibrioides DSM 265
Lineage: Bacteria; Pseudomonadati; Chlorobiota; Chlorobiia; Chlorobiales; Chlorobiaceae
Description: Chlorobi-1 RNA
Rfam family: Chlorobi-1 RNA
Source: Rfam by way of RNAcentral
GAAAUACCUCACGCCCGUGGGGUUGAGCAGAUGUAAUGGGGGACAUCUGCUCACAAAAAAAAGCGGCU